AACAGGAUUAGAUACCCUGGUAGUCCACCCCGUAAACGUUGGGAACUAGUUGUGGGGGCCUUUCCACGGUCUCCGUGACGCAGCUAACGCAUUAAGUUCCCCGCCUGGGGAGUACGGCCGCAAGGCUAAAACUCAAAGGAAUUGACGGGGACCCGCACAAGCGGCGGAGCAUGCGGAUUAAUUCGAUGCAACGCGAAGAACCUUACCAAGGCUUGACAUAUACGAGAACGGGCUAGAAAUAGUCAACUCUUUGGACACUCGUAUACAGGUGGUGCAUGGUUGUCGUCAGCUCGUGUCGUGAGAUGUUGGGUUAAGUCCCGCAACGAGCGCAACCCUCGUUCUCUGUUGCCAGCACGUAAUGGUGGGAACUCAGGGGAUACUGCCGGGGUCAACUCGGAGGAAGGUGGGGAUGACGUCAAAUCAUCAUGCCCCUUAUGUCUUGGGCUUCACGCAUGCUACAAUGGCCGGUACAAAGGGCUGCAAUACCGUGAGGUGGAGCGAAUCCCAAAAAGCCGGUCCCAGUUCGGAUUGAGGUCUGCAACUCGACCUCAUGAAGUCGGAGUCGCUAGUAAUCGCAGAUCAGCAACGCUGCGGUGAAUACGUUCCCGGGUCUUGUACACACCGCCCGUCAAGUCAUGAAAGUCGGUAACACCUGAAGCCGGUGGCCUAACCCUUGUGGAGGGAGCCGUCGAAGGUGGGAUCGGUAAUUAGGACUAAGUCGUAACAAGGUAACC
This 734-nucleotide ribosomal RNA is filed under the name uncultured bacterium. Its description in RNAcentral is "bacterial SSU rRNA". It matches the Rfam family "Bacterial small subunit ribosomal RNA", at positions 771 to 1501 of the family's 1533-position model. The record is from RNAcentral.